This 15030-nucleotide long non-coding RNA is filed under the name Solanum tuberosum (potato). Its description in RNAcentral is "long non-coding RNA (STUB_LNC003831)". The record is from RNAcentral. Lineage: Eukaryota; Viridiplantae; Streptophyta; Magnoliopsida; Solanales; Solanaceae.
GAGAUCUUAAGAAUUAAACAUGGCUUCUUCUUCUAAGUUAGUACUUGUAAUGUGUUUUAUGGUUAGUGCUUUUGGCAUUGCAAUUGGAAACACGUUAGAUCAAGAAUUUGAGAUAACAUGGGGUGAUGGCAGAGCAAAGAUACUCAACAAUGGCGACCUCCUUACUCUCUCACUUGACAAAAUCUCUGGCUCUGGUUUUCAAUCCAAGAAUGAAUAUCUCUUUGGUAAAAUUGACAUGCAGCUCAAACUAGUCUCUGGAAAUUCUGCUGGCACUGUCACUGCUUAUUAUGUAAUUCCCUUAAUUUCUUUUCUUAUAUGAUUUUUGAGCUACGUGUUUAUUGAAUUGAAAUGAAAUUGAACCUUUUUAUUUUUUGAAAUUUAUUGCAGUUGUCAUCACAAGGACCAACACAUGAUGAGAUAGAUUUUGAAUUCUUGGGAAAUUUAAGUGGUGAUCCUUAUACUCUCCACACUAACGUAUUUAGCCAAGGCAAAGGAAACAGAGAGCAGCAAUUCCAUCUCUGGUUUGACCCUACUGCUGAUUUCCACACUUAUUCCAUCACUUGGAAUCCACAACGCAUCAUGUAAACAUUCAAUCUUUCUUCAAAUCUAACACAUUCUUUUAAGGAUAAAUCUUGAUUUGGGGUUCUCUUAUUUUUUGAUUGAACAGAUUCUAUGUGGACGGAACGCCCAUUAGAGAAUACAAGAAUAGUGAAUCAAUGGGAGUUUCAUAUCCGAAGAACCAACCAAUGAGGAUUUACUCAAGUCUUUGGAAUGCAGAUGAUUGGGCUACAAGAGGAGGACUUGUCAAGACUGAUUGGAGCCAAGCACCCUUUAGUGCUUCUUACAGAAACUUCAGUGCUAAUGCUUGUAUUCCCAGUUCUUCAUCUUCUUGCAAUUCCAAUACUACAACUUCAACAAGCAAUUCAUGGUUGAAUGAAGAGUUAGAUAGCACAAGCCAAGAGAGGCUUAAAUGGGUGCAGAAGAAUUACAUGGUCUAUAAUUACUGCACUGAUUCUAAGCGAUUUCCACAAGGAUUUCCAGUAGAUUGUGUUCAGAAUAACUGAGCAUUUAUAGUGAAAAAAUAGUGUAUUCUCUUAAAUAUUUUUUAUCUCUAGAACUAUUGUAAUGAUUCUUUUAUUGUUUUGUACCCAUCAGUAGAAGAUGCAAUAAUUAUUGAGGAUUAGAAACAUCUUAGUUUUGUACUAAGUUUAUAUAAACAAUGAAAUAGAUAUUUUCUUUUAUACUUUGUGUUUUGGAUAUGUUUUUUUUUCUUUUUAAUCAAAUUUGACCCAAUGGGCCAAUUUUAUUGAUAAAUAUGUCGGAGGAAUUUUCACAUAUAGCCACUAAAAAUAACCUAAUUACUCUCCAUAACUAUAGUUUGAUAAUUGCAAUUUGUAGCUACAUGUUAUAUGAGGAGAGAUGCGAGCGAGACUGGGAGAGAGAGGAGAGAGGCGAGCGAGAGAAGGCAAAGAGUGGGAGAGAGGUAAAUUGUACAUAUAUAUAUAUCAGUUAGAUAAUUGUAUAUUAUACAUAUGUAUUUGUAUAUCCUGGCGAAUUAUACAUAUACAAACGUGGAGAAUUAUACAAACUCGAAGUCAGCUCACGUAAUUAAUGUAUAAUGUUAGUCACGAGUGAUAAUUAUAGCAAAUUAUAGCUAUGAUGAGUAAUUAAAUAAUAUAAAUUUGCUUAACCGCAUAAUUUUUCCUAUAUGGAAACAAUAAAGCUGAAAAGGAGGUCCAAAAUGAACAGCCUAAAGCCUAAAAAAUACUCUCUCUGUCCCUAUUUAUUUGUCCAUUUUUCACUUUAUAGUUGUCCCUAAUUACUUAUCCAUUUUGACAAAUCAAGAAAAAAUAUAUUUUUUUAACUUUUUGAAAAUAUUAAUUUUUUAAUUCAUCCACUUCAUAAUUAAUAGGGGUAAAAUGGUAAACUCACUAUGUCAAUAAUUAUUUUUUAAAUAAAUGUGUUAAUUCAAAAGCAGACAAAUAAUUAGGGAUAGAGGGAGUAAGAUGGAAAACAAAAAAAUCUAGAUUUAUCGUCUACAUCUUCUUUGCAUUUAGAAAAGUAACUCUUCACCUUCUAUAUAUCACUCAUGGCAGCAUCAAGUUCUUUUAACUUAGUCCUAUCUCUGAUGUAUCUUAAUUCAUCAAUACGUCGAGUAUCUCCCUUAUAACGUUUGUAAAAAGUCGAUUCAUCUAUCUACCUUCCCACAUCUAAUCGUCUUUAUUUUUUACUUUCAAAUCUUAAGAAUGGAUACAGGGCCGGCUCUGUGGUUUGGAAAAUAAGGCCUUUGCCUUAGGCCCCAAAUUUCGGGGCCCCAAAUUUUUAUCAAGAAUAAAUUAUGUCCUAAAAUUUUUAUAGAAAAAAUUGAUUAUUUAUGAUAAAAGGUGUAAUUUUUUUUAAAAUAAAUUAUUUUAUCCACUUUAACAUUUUUUGUAUUGUGUUAAAAAUAAGAAUUAAUAGUGAAAAGUGUUGAACAAAGUGAAUUACAAAUUCUUUUUUAUUUCUUUUUAAAUUUUAGUUUCAAGCAUUACUACAAGCAUAUUAAAAUGAGGUAUACCAAGUCAUCAACUUUUUGAGUCAAAUUCUAUAGUUCUAACUCUUAUCUUUAUUUAAUAUUUAUCAACUUAUCACUUAUAGCAUUAUGUUAACAAUACAUAUAAUAAUUGCCUCACUUAAAUGAUGUUUUUCAAUGUUGAGUUGAUAAAAUCUUAUCUAAAACUAGUAACUGAAAAAAUAAUAUAUACUAUUAAAUACUAAUGAUUUUCAUCUAAAUAGUAUAAGAAAAAUAAUUUUUGAAUAAAUACGUAUAUAAAGUUUAGUUAUAUUUUAGGCCGCGAAUUGAAAUUUCGCUUUAGAUCUCCAAUUACGUUGAGCCGCCCCUGAAUGGAUAACAAGUUUCGGUGGUCCUCCAUACUCGUACUACCUCAUGUAAAUUGAUCUUUCCUUUGUUUUUCCGCAUAUGACCUCCAAUUCACCUUUGAUUCGAUUGAAGUUUUUAUGUGUUCUUGAUAGAUUCAGCUCCAUGCGCCGUUGUGUUAAUUGUGCUAUUUUUUGUCCUUUCACAAAAUCAUGAAUAAAAUAACAUUGUUUAUUGCUUCUCUUGAAAGCUAUCAUAAUAUAAAUAUUGUUGUUUGUGGUUGAUUGGAGAAUUACUAUUCAACUUUAUAUAAUUGGAGAUUAGAGGUGAAAUAAAGAGUGUUUGAAGAAGACAUUCUCUAUUUUACACUCCAAAUAUAGAGACUGAAGAGUGAAAUAAAGAGGGUUGGAAAUAGAUUACAGUAGAAUGAAAACGAAUUUGCAUCGUUUCAAAUUAUAGAGAAUGAAUAGUAAAAUAGAGAGGGUUGGAGAUGGAAGUACAGUAGAAUGAAAGUGAAUUUGCAUCAUUUCAAAUUCCUAUCUUAAUUGAUGAGAAGGCGGGAGAAAAGGCUAAAUAUUUAGGACCCGUUUGACCAUAAAUAUAUUUGGGAAAAACUUGAAAAUGGUGUUUGGUUAUACAACUUGCCACUACUUGAUAAAUAUAGUUUUCAAAUAUCCCAAGUUUUCAAAUACUAAAAAAAAUUAGUAUUUGGCUAAGUUCUAAUAUUUGAGAAUUUUUAAAAAUUUAAAAAAUACCCCAAACUUUAUAUUUUAUAAAAAAACACCCAUCAUUUAUUAAUUCCAACUACUUCCUCUGUCCCAAUUUAUGUGACUUACUUUCCUUUUUAGUCGGUCCAAAAAAUAAUGACACAUUUUUAUAUUGAGUAACAAUUUAACUAUAAAUUAUCUAUUUUAUACUUAAUGAAAACCACAAGUUUUAAAAGUCUUUCUUUCUUUCUUAAACUCUGUGCCGUGUCAAACUACCUCACAUAAAAUGGGACGGAAGGAGUAAUAUUUAUCUAUCAAAUUACUCCAUUAAUAACUUAUAACCAGAUUGAGAAAAAAAGAACAAUUUAUUUUUAAUGAGUUAUAAGUAAUUCUGAAUCAGUAACAAGUUUGAGUGUGCAAUUAAGGUAUUGCUCUUUCCCAUAUUGCUAUUUUGUUGUGGUUAAUUCUUAUCAAUUAUGUUCUAGGGUUAUUUUUUUUAAUGAACACGUUCAUUAUAAAAUGAUAAUACAAAAUUAAAGGUUUUUUUUUUUUGAAUUAUGGAUAUAGAUCAUAUUUUUUGAAAUAGUCAAAUAUUUCUUUCAAAUUUAUGGGCAAGCGCAUGGUGAAACUUCACCUAAAAAUGAUUUGCCAAGCAUAUUUGGGAAUUUGGAGUCAAACGCUAGCUCAUACUUAAUUAUAUAAUUAUAUUUUUGCAAUAAAAAUAUAUAUUUAUAAUUACACUAUAAUUACAUUAUGGCAAAUAAGCAAAUCAUUAUAAUUACUAUACUAUAUAAUUACUAGGUUAUACUCCCUAUAGUUCAUAUUAACUAAAUUUUUGAGAGAAUGCACCCCAUUAAGAAAAAUAAUUUAGGACAUAAAUUGAACUAUCACUUUACAUUUUUGACCUUUUAGUUAUUCUCAAAUUAUUUUAAAAAAUAGAAAUAAUUUAAAGCAAAAUUAUAAAUAUGAACAACUAACUCUCUUAAACUUAUCACCUAUGUAAAUGAAAUGCAAAUAUAAAAGAAAUUUCCUACAACUCUCUUAUAUAUUGAACAAUUAACUUAUUUUAAACAUUAAAUAAAGACUAAAAAAUCAAUUAUUAUGAUUUGAGGAAGUAUAAUUAUACAAAUUUCAAUCAUUACGUGACCUUCUGAAAAAAAAAAAAACCCUGGGCUAAGACACAAGUGCCAUUCAUUCAUUGUUUUUUUUUUGUUUUUUUUUGUUUUUUUUUUAUUCUUUUUCUUUAUCUUUUCUUUUGAUUCGAUUUCGAAUUUAAUUCCAAAUAUUUAAAAUAUAUUAAUUUCAAACAUAUAUCAAAAUAAGUAAAAAAACUAAAUAAAAUAUUAAAAAAAUUAAAACUUUAAAAUUAAAGGGCACUUUUUUGAAUAUAUAUAUAUAUAUACACGUAAAUUUUUAAAAAUAAUUAAAAGUGAAAAGAGAAAAAAAGUUUAAUGUGAGGAGAGAAAUAGAUAUUUUACAAAUAAAGAAAUGAAAUAAUUAAAUAUUUAUAAUUUUUAAUGUCAAUAAUUAUGUGUAUUAACUCAUUAUAAAAUGACCAAUUAAAAAAAAGACAUGUGUUUCUCUAUGCCAUGUCAGCAUCUAGGGUGUAUUUAUUUUAUUUUAAAAUAAUUUAUUAAGAUAAUAGAACCACAGUUAAGUUUAGAUGUGACGUUGAAAUUUCGAGUAUAGUUCAAUGUAGGGGUGAAAAAACGGAACAACAAUCGAGAAAAGAAACCCAACUAGUGGUUUGGUAUUGAAAAUUCUUUUUUGAACAUAUUUGGGUUGGGUUAGUUUUAACUUUAAAAAGUCAGCCCGAGUCCAAAUCAACUCAACAUUAUAUAUAUAAUUUUUAAAAUUUAUUUUAUACAUAAAAGUAGAUUUUUUCUUAUACUUGUUUAUAGUUUUUAUCUUUUAACAUAUUAUUUCAGUUUGAUUUAAAAUUUUGAACAGUCUAAUAAAUAUUGUAAUUCAUUAUUUUCUUAAUAAAUCCACCAAUUUAUACUAUUUCUAAUAUUCUCGACACCAUAUAGUGCAGGGAAACUUUUAUUUUGUUCUUGUUGUUUGAGGAUGGAGAAUGAUGGUUGACAAAAUAUUGAAUGAAGGAAAUGCAAAAUGCACUACGGAAAGUGUACAUGAUAAACAAAUGAAAAGGCCAAUCUGAAAAAUGAAAAUGGUGCAAAAUUUACACGAAUGUAGGAGUAGUGUGGGAUUAGAUACACAUCUUGAUUUGAAAUUUGUUAAAGACCAGCUCCAGCUGAUUGGUCCACAGAUAAUAUAGCCACGGGAUAUAACCUCUUCCUAGUCAAAUACCUUAAGGCGGUUCUACACCCAACUAAUACAAUGUAGGUACACUUGAAUAAAAAACAAUACAUUAAAGUUGAACUAGUUCCAAUGAAAAUGAUAAUGUGAGACUAACCAGGGUUGUAAUGGAUGUGAAAGUGGGCAAAACUCUCACAUUGGUCGAAAAAUUGACUGAUGGUAUCUUUAUAUGGAUUUGAGUAAUUUUCCCUUCAUAAGCUAACUUUUGAGGUUGAGUUAGACUCAGAUGACAUAUUUUUAAAUGAUAUCAGAUUCAGGUUCAUCCCCGUUUAGGCUUUCGUUAUAUGGACUUGAGCAAUCCUCCCUCAUAAAUUUUGAAUUCAAAUCUUUUUGAGUAUGAAGUCACCUUUGUUAGAAAAUAUUUUACCCCAAUGUAAAACUUUCCAAUGCAAACUCAAAUUUAACCGAGUUUCAAUGCGACUAGACACUACCAUUUAUGGGUUGUCACAUAGCUUUGAUGGCAUCAUUUUUUUCCCCUGUUUCCAGCUCAAUAUACACUCAAUCUUUUUUUCUUACUUUCUGUUUUACUUUGAACCUUCCUCUUUAUUUCCUCAAGCCUUAGACCCCACACGCUCUAGCUACUUAUUUGUUGGUGAGGUGGGGGUGGUAUAAACCCUUAUAAAACCCAAUCUAGCUUUCCAACUCAAAUUCAUCCAACAAACAUUGAAAUCUCUUAAGAAUUAAACAUGGCUUCUUCUUCUAAGUUAGUACUUGUAAUUUGUUUUAUGAUCAGUGCUUUUUGCAUUGCAAUUGGGGCCAAAUUCGAUCAAGAAUUUGAGAUAACAUGGGGUGAUGGCAGAGCAAAGAUACUCAACAAUGGGGACCUCCUAACUCUCUCACUUGACAAAAUCUCUGGCUCUGGUUUUCAAUCGAAGAAUGAAUAUCUCUUUGGUAAAAUUGACAUGCAGCUCAAACUUGUCUCUGGAAACUCUGCUGGCACUGUCACUGCUUACUAUGUAAUUCCCUUAAUUUCUUUUCUUAUAUAAUUUUUGAGCUAUACAUGUUUAUUGAGUUGAAAUGAAAUUGAACUUCUUUUUUGAAAAUUUAUUGCAGUUGUCAUCACAAGGACCAACACAUGAUGAGAUAGAUUUUGAAUUCUUGGGAAAUCUAAGUGGUGAUCCUUAUACUCUCCAUACUAAUGUAUUUAGCCAAGGCAAAGGAAACAGAGAACAACAAUUUCAUCUAUGGUUUGACCCUACUGCUGAUUUCCACACUUAUUCCAUCACUUGGAAUCCACAACGCAUCAUGUAAACAUUCAAUCUUUCUUCAAAUCUAACACAUUCUUUUAAGGAUAAAUCUUGAUUUGGGGUUCUCUUAUUUUUUGAUUGAACAGAUUCUAUGUGGACGGAACGCCGAUUAGAGAAUACAAGAACAGUGAAUCGAUGGGAGUUUCAUAUCCGAAGAACCAAGCAAUGAGGAUAUACUCGAGUCUUUGGAAUGCAGAUGAUUGGGCUACAAGAGGAGGACUUGUCAAGACUGAUUGGAGCCAAGCACCCUUUAGUGCUUCUUACAGAAACUUCAGUGCUAAUGCAUGUAUUCCCAGUUCUUCAUCUUCUUGCAGUUCCAAUACUACAACUUCAACAAGCAAUUCAUGGUUGAAUGAAGAGUUAGAUAACACAAGUCAAGAGAGGCUCAAAUGGGUGCAGAAGAAUUACAUGGUUUAUAAUUACUGCACUGAUUCUAAACGAUUUUCACAAGGAUUUCCAGCAGAUUGUGUUCAGAACAGCUAAGCAUUUACAGUGAAAAAUAGUGUAUUCUUUUAUUUAUUGUACUGAUUCUUUUAUUGUUCUGCAUCAACCAGAAGAUGCAUUAAUUAUUGAGGAUUAGAAACAUCUUAUUAUUGUAUUGACAAUGAAAUAGAUAUAUUCUUUUAUAGCUUAGUGUUUUGGAUAUGAAAAAUUAUGCUACUACAGCUCUUUUGCAAAGUACAAAAGAGGUGAAUUGGCAUCAUUUUUAAAAUUCCUAUCUAAAUUGAUGAGAAGGCGGGAGAAAAGUCAAAUUAUUUAACUUAAUUAUGUAAUAAUAUUUGUUUAAUCAAAUAAUCCAUUUCUAAUUACCCUAUAAUUGAUUAUGACAAAUAAAAAAAUCGUUAUAAUUACUAAAUUAUAUACUCCCUCCGUCCCAUUUUAUGUGAGGUUGUUUGACUCGACACAAAGUUUAAGAAAGAAAGGAAGACUUUUAAAACUUGUGAUUUAAAAUGAAUGAUAUAAAUUUGUGUGACGGUAAAUCAUUUCAUUAAGGGCAAAAUAGAAAUUUUAUAGUUAAAUUGAUAGUACUUAAUAUAUAAAUAUGUCAUUCUUUUUGGGAUUGACUAAAAUAUAAGUAAGUCAAAUAAAUUGGGAUAGAGGGAGUAAUUAUAUAAACAUCGAAUGAAUUAAAUGCACUUUGGAAAGUGCACAUGAUAAACAGUGAAAAGCCCAAUCGAAAAUGGUAAGAAACUGACCCAAUCUAAUUUCCUCCGUCACAAAAUAUUGUAUAUCAUUUAGAGCAACUUUCACAUAUAGCAAAUAAAAAAAUCAUAUUUGUAUGCUAUAGCAAAAUUUGCAUAAUUGCGUUCCAUAACAAACAUAUAUAUGUAUAAUUCGCUAUACAUAUACAAUUGAAAGCUGUCUAUUUCGCUAUACAUAUAUACAAAAAGAAGCAAUUGUAUAAUUCGUUGGCUCCUCUUCAGAAUUGUAUAAUUUCGUUGGCAGGCCAUUUGUAUAAAUUGUUGUUUAAGCCUUCUCGUUUGUAUAAAUUCGUUGACAAAAAUAUUUGUAUAUCAAAAAUCGCUCUCUUUCGCUUUAUACAAACAUAAAUUAUACAUUAUACAAACAUAAAACUGGGCAGGGGAAUGUUUUUAUUGUAUAAUUAUAAGUGUAUAGGAUGAAUAUACAUGUAUUUGCAUGUGUAUAUAUAAUUUUCUCGCGCUUUAUACAAAUAGAAACACAAUUUAUACAAUUCUGUUGUAUAAAACGAGAAAGAGAGAAAGGCAAAAGAGAACUGGGCAGAGAAAUAUUUUUAUUAUAUAAUUAUAAGUGUAUAAGACGAAUAUAUAUGUAUUUGCAUGUAUAUAUACAAUUUUCUCUCACUUUAUAUAAACAGAAACGCAAUUUAUACACUUCUGUUGUAUAAAGCGAGAGAGGCGAGCACAGAGGGAGUGAGCGAGAGAGGAGAGUGGCGAGCGAGAGUUUGAGGGAGAGAGGCGCUGACAAACAGUUUGCUACAUGACACAAUUAAAUCAAAAUGUGAUUAUACCAUUUAAUUUGAAUUAAUAGUUAGCCAUUAUGUACAAUUUUCCCUAUCAUUUAUAUGCCUUAAUCAACAAAUAUCAUAUAUUUAGUAAAAUAUCAAAUGAUUCACUCUUAAUUUUAAAUAGAGAUAUGACACAAGCAUUCUUAGACUAUGAUCGAAAUUUCGGAGAGACACAUAAACUUAACUAAGGUUCUAUCACCCCGAACUCAUUUUUUGAUAUUUUUGUGCACCUUUUAUGCUGACGUGACACCUUCAACCACCCAAGUUGACUGUGUUUGUACACAUGUGUCUGCCAUGUUUGUAAAUGUUUUCUAAAAUUUUUAAAUUUGUUUUUUUUUAAAAUAUUUUUAUUUUUUUUAUCAUAUAUUUAAAUUAAGUUAAUAUAUAUUUUCUUACCUUGUAUCUAAACUUUUUUUUUAAAACUUCAUUCAUUGUUUUUUUUCUUUUAUUUACUCUUUUUAUUUUCUUUGUCUUUCCUUUUGAUUUGAUUUCAAACAUCUUGUAUUUAAGAUAAGUUAAUUUCGAAGGGAUAGCAAAAUAAGUGAAGAAAUCAAAUUAAACAUUAAAAAAAUUAAAACGUUAAAAUUAAAGGAUGCUUUUUUUAAAAAAAAAAAUAAGUAUAAUUUUUAAAAAUAAUUAAAAGUGAAAAGAUAAGAAAUUAAUGAAAGAAAAAAUAUAAAAAGUUUAAAGUGAGAAACAAAAUAAAAUAAAUAUUUUACAAAGAAAGAAAUGUAAAUAAUUAAAUAUAUAUAAGUUUUAAUAUCAAUAAAUAAGUGUACUAACUAAUUAUAAAGUUACCACUUAAAAAAUUACAUGUGUUUAAUUUUGUUCACUCAUCACUUGCCUUAUAAUGUAUUUAUUUCAUUUUAAAUUAGUUUAGAAGGUAAUAGAACCCUUGUUAAGUUUAUACGUAUCUUUGAGAUUUCAGUCAUAAGAAAAAAGAAGAAGUCAUAUUCUAAGGAUACUUGUAAUUUUUAAAUACCUCGAUUUCUUUUAAAUCCAUCAGGUGAUACCAUUUCUAAUCUGACCAAAAAAAGAUACCAUUUCUAAUAUUCUGGACACCAUAUAGUGCACGAAACUUGUAUUUUCUUCUUGGUGUUUGAGCCUGGAGAAUCAUGGUUAAUAAAUAUUAAAUGAACGAAAAUCAAAUGCACAUUGGAAAGUAUACAUGAUAAAGAAAUGAAAUUAAAAAGGCCAAUCGAGGAGCAAAAGUUACACGAAUGUAGUAGAACUGUGGGAUUAUAUGCACAUCUUGAAUUGAAAUUUGUAAAAAGCCAGCUGGUUGGUCCACAGAUAAUAUAGCCACGCUAUAUAAUCCCCUGCUAGACAAAUAUUUUAAGGGGUGACUAAACCCAACUAGUAGAAAUAAUACAAUGUAGGUACACUUGAAUAAACAAAGGGAAACAAUACACAAGUUGAAGUAGUUCGAAUGAUCAACGAGAGUUGUAGUGUAGUGAUAAAUACUUCUUCAUUCUUAAUUAGAAGUUUUAGAUUCGAGUCUCCGGGGUAUAGAGUCGCCUUUGUUAGAGAGCCUAUUCGAUUUGAGAUUUUCCAAUGCGAAUUUAGAUUUAGUCGGACUCCAGUUCCAAUGAAAAUGAUAGUGUGAGGGUUGGAAAGACUCACCAUAUAUGUAUGGGCUGUCACUUAGCUUUGAUGCCAUCAUUUUUAAUCCUGUUUCCAGCUCAAUAUAUGCUCAAAUCUUUUUUUCCUGCUUUCGGUUUUACUUUGAACCUUCCUCUUUAUUUCCUUAAGCAUAACCCCACACGCUCUAGCUACUUCUUUGUUGCUGAAGUGGGGUGGUAUAAACCCUUAUAAAACCUCACUCCAACUCUAAUUCAUCCAACAAAUUAAAGUUUGAAAUCUUUAGAACUAAACAUGGCUUUUUCUUCUUCUAAGUUAAUACUACUUUUGAUGUGUUUUAUGAUCAGUGCUUUUGGCAUUGCAAUUGCAGCCAAGUUCGAUCAAGAAUUCGACGUCACAUGGGGUGAUGGCAGAGCAAAAAUACUCAACAAUGGCGACCUCCUUACUCUCUCACUUGACAAAAUCUCUGGCUCUGGUUUUCAAUCCAAGAAUGAAUAUCUCUUUGGUAAAAUUGACAUGCAGCUCAAACUUGUCGCUGGAAAUUCUGCGGGCACCGUCACUGCCUACUAUGUAAUUCCCUUAUUUUCUUUUUUCUUAAAUGAUUUUUGAGUUUAUUGAGUUGAAAUGGAAUUGAACUUCUUUUUUGAAAAUUUAUUGCAGUUGUCAUCACAAGGACCAACACAUGAUGAGAUAGAUUUUGAAUUCUUGGGAAAUCUAAGUGGUGAUCCUUAUACUCUCCACACUAAUGUAUUUAGCCAAGGCAAAGGAAACAGAGAGCAGCAAUUCCAUCUUUGGUUUGACCCUACUGCUGAUUUCCACACAUAUUCAAUCACUUGGAAUCCACUACGCAUCAUGUAAGUAAUUAAAGAUUCGAUCUUUCUUCAAAAAUAUGUGACUUUUUAAAUCAAAUCUUGAUUUGGGGUUAUCUUAUUUUUGGUUUAACAGAUUUUAUGUGGACGGAACGCCCAUUAGAGAAUACAAGAAUAGCGAAUCAAUGGGAGUUUCAUAUCCGAAGAACCAAGCAAUGAGGAUUUACUCGAGUCUUUGGAAUGCAGAUGAUUGGGCUACAAGAGGAGGACUUGUCAAGACUGAUUGGAGCCAAGCACCCUUUAGUGCUUCUUACAGAACUUCAAAUCUAACACAUUCUUUUGGGAUAAACCUUGAUUUGGGGUUCUCUUAUUUUUUGAUUGAACAGAUUCUAUGUGGACGGAAUGCCCAUUAGAGAAUACAAGAAUAGUGAAUCAAUGGGAGUUUCAUAUCCGAAGAACCAACCAAUGAGGAUAUAUUCAAGUCUUUGGAAUGCAGAUGAUUGGGCUACAAGAGGAGGACUUGUCAAGACUGAUUGGAGCCAAGCACCCUUUAGUGCUUCUUACAGAAACUUCAGUUCUAAUGCUUGUAUUCCCAGUUCUUCAUCUUCUUGCAGUUCCAAUACUACAACUUCAACAAGCAAUUCAUGGUUGAAUGAAGAGUUAGAUAACACAAGCCAAGAGAGGCUCAAAUGGGUGCAGAAGAAUUACAUGGUUUAUAAUUACUGCACUGAUUCUAAACGAUUUUCACAAGGAUUUCCAGCAGAUUGUCUUCAGAAUAGCUGAGCAUUUACAGUGAAAUUUUUUGUAUUCUUUUACUUUUGAUCUAUAAAACUAUUAUAUUGAUUCUUUUAUUGUUCUGCACCAACCAGUAGCAGAGGAUUACAAACAUCUUAAUUUUUAGUUUUGUUACUGAGGGAUCGUUUGGUGAAAUUACACUGUGUGUUUGCCCCAAGUUUUCUUAGGAAUAUUUGACUAUUUCAAAAAAUAUAAUUUAUUUCCAUAGUUCUAAAAACUAUUAAAAAUAUCCAUAAAUUUAUAUUAUCUAUUUAUAGUGAAUAUGCUCAAUUAAAAAAUAACCUUAUAACAUAAUUGAUAACAAUCAACAACAACAAAAUAACAAUAUAUGCAAGAGCAAUACAUUAAUCACAUAUUCAAACUUGUCAUUGAUUCGGUUAUAAUUAUAAUCCAUUAGAAACAAUUUGUUCUUUUUUCUCAAUUUUGUCACUGAAAUUAGAAUUCGGAUUCUUCCGGAGGAGGUGGUAACAAACUGUUCCUUAAUAUAAUUUUCCCACAUUCUACGGACAAUCUCUUCCCUACAAGCAUUCAUUGUUAGAUUAGAAGACAGAGAAGACAAAACAAUAUUGUUACUCUGAGUCGAUUGUUCGUCAUCUUCAUCAGUAACCAUAUCAUCACGUUUAUGUUCAUUGAAUAUUUCAUCACUGUUUUGAUUUUCACGCAAAAGAAUUAUGUAAUAUGGCACAAUCAACUACUACUUUCACUUGCAUGCCUAAAUCAUAGUUGUUCAUGUCUUGUUGUAGUAUUCUGAAUCUACUUUUCCACGCACCAAAUGUUCUUUCAAUUACAUUACGCAAAGAGACAUGUCUAUAGUUAAAUAACUCAUUGUCAUGCUUAGGCUCUCUUUCACUUUUCUUGUAGUCCUGCAAAUAAUAUCACAUUCCUUUGUUACUUAAUAGAUAGAGAUGUUUAAUAUGAUUGGUGAGCAUGUUGUUUAAUAGAUAGAGGAGUAAUCUUGUUAUUUAUUGGUAGUAAUAGAUAGAUAUGGUAGAUACAAAAUAAUGGAUUUUUUUUAUAAAAUAUAGAAGUUUGGGGGUGAUUUUUGAAUUUUUUAAAAUUCUCAAGUACUAUAACUUGACCCAAAAACUAGUUUUUUUUAGUAUUUGGAAACUUGAAAUUCUUGACAAAUAUAUUUGCCAAGUUAUGUAGCAAAACACCGCUGGCCAAGUGUUUUCCAAAUUUUUUCCAAGUUUUCCCAAGUUUUAUUUGGGGCCAAACAGGUCCUAUAUCUCUUGUUAUAUUUUCGGUCUAAAUAUACCACCUUCUAUUAUACUUUUGGUCCAAAUAUUUCAUUAUACUUUGACUCAAAUUUAUUCUCGAUCUUAACAAAACAAAUAUGUUUCAAGCUGAGAAUCAAAUAACUUGCUCUGAAUUUUAAAUAAUUUGAUUUCUUUUUAAAUCCAUUAGGUGAUACCAUUUCUAGUAUUCUGGAUACCAUAAAGUGCAGGGGAACUUUUGCCUAUUUUCUAAUAUUUUUGUUGUUUGAACAUGGAUGAUCAUGGUUAGUAAAAUAUUGAUCAAUGAUCAAAAUGCAAAUGCACAAUGGAAAGUGUACACGUUAAAUAAAUGAAAUUGAAAGGGCCAAUCGAGGAGCAAAAAAUUACCCGAAUGUAUUAGGAGUACAGCCGGAUUAGAUGCAUAUCUUGAAUUGAAAUUUGUAAAAUGUUAGCUGUUUGGUCCACAGAUAAUAUUGCCACGGGAUGUAACCUCUUGCUACUCAAAUACCUUAAGGCGGUACUGUAGGUACACUUGAAUAAACAAAGGGAACAAUACACAAGUUUAACUAGUUCCAAUAAUAACGAGAGUUAUGGUGGAAUGGUAAAUAUUUCUUCAUUAAAUUUCAAAUUAGAGUCUCACCUUUGUUAUAGAUCCUUUAUCCUCCAAUGUGGGUUUUUUCAAUGCAAAUUCAAAUUUAGUGAGGCUUUGAUAUAAAUACCGAACACCAAAUUAUAAAAAAAAACAAAAAAAACUAGUUCCAAUGAGAAUGAUAGUGCGAGUCUUGGAAAGACUGACCAUAUAUGGGCUGUCACUUAGCUUUGAUGCCAUCAUUUUUUAUCCUGUUUCCAGCUCAAUCUUUUUUUUCUUGCUUUCUGUAUUACUUUGAACCUUCCUCUUUAUUUCCUCAAGCCUAUCCCCACACGCUCUACCUACUUAUUUGUUGGUGAGGUGGGGGUGGUAUAAACCCUUAUAAAACCCCAUCUAGCUUUCCAACUCCAAUUCAUCCAACAAACUUUGAAAUCUUAAGAAUUAAACAUGGCUUCUUCUUCUAAGUUAGUACUUGUAAUGUGUUUUAUGGUUAGUGCUUUUGGCAUUGCAAUUGGAAACACGUUAGAUCAAGAAUUUGAGAUAACAUGGGGUGAUGGCAGAGCAAAGAUACUCAACAAUGGCGACCUCCUUACUCUCUCACUUGACAAAAUCUCUGGCUCUGGUUUUCAAUCGAAGAAUGAAUAUCUCUUUGGUAAAAUUGACAUGCAGCUCAAACUAGUCACUGGAAAUUCUGCUGGCACUGUCACUGCUUAUUAUGUAAUUCCCUUAAUUUCUUUUCUUAUAUGAUUUUUGAGCUACGUGUUUAUUGAAUUGAAAUGAAAUUGAACCUUUUUAUUUUUUGAAAUUUAUUGCAGUUGUCAUCACAAGGACCAACACAUGAUGAGAUAGAUUUUGAAUUCUUGGGAAAUUUAAGUGGUGAUCCUUAUACUCUCCACACUAACGUAUUUAGCCAAGGCAAAGG